Molecule: ribosomal RNA, 530 nt
Filed under: uncultured bacterium
Lineage: Bacteria
Description: partial 16S ribosomal RNA
Rfam family: Bacterial small subunit ribosomal RNA
Source: RNAcentral
UGGGGAAUAUUGCACAAUGGGCGCAAGCCUGAUGCAGCCAUGCCGCGUGUGUGAAGAAGGCCUUCGGGUUGUAAAGCACUUUCAGCGAGGAGGAAGGUGGUGAACUUAAUACGUUCAUCAAUUGACGUUACUCGCAGAAGAAGCACCGGCUAACUCCGUGCCAGCAGCCGCGGUAAUACGGAGGGUGCAAGCGUUAAUCGGAAUUACUGGGCGUAAAGCGCACGCAGGCGGUUUGUUAAGUCAGAUGUGAAAUCCCCGGGCUCAACCUGGGAACUGCAUUUGAAACUGGCAAGCUAGAGUCUCGUAGAGGGGGGUAGAAUUCCAGGUGUAGCGGUGAAAUGCGUAGAGAUCUGGAGGAAUACCGGUGGCGAAGGCGGCCCCCUGGACGAAGACUGACGCUCAGGUGCGAAAGCGUGGGGCAGCAAACAGGAUUAGAUACCCUGGUAGUCACGCUGUAAACGAUGUCGAUUUUGGAGGUUGUGCCCCUUGAGGCGUGGCUUCCGGAGCUAACGCGUUAAAGUCGACCGCCU